RNAcentral lists this ribosomal RNA (490 nucleotides) under uncultured bacterium. Its description in RNAcentral is "partial 16S ribosomal RNA". It matches the Rfam family "Bacterial small subunit ribosomal RNA", at positions 30 to 507 of the family's 1533-position model. The record is from RNAcentral.
AUUGAACGCUGGCGGCAGGCCUAACACAUGCAAGUCGAACGGUAACAGGAAGAAGCUUGCUUCUUUGCUGACGAGUGGCGGACGGGUGAGUAAUGUCUGGGAAACUGCCUGAUGGAGGGGGAUAACUACUGGAAACGGUAUCUAAUACCGCAUAACUUCUCAAGACCAAAGAGGGGGACCUUCGGGCCUCUUUCCAUCGGAUGUGCCCAGAUGGGAUUAGCUAGUAGGUGGGGUAACGGCUCACCUAGGCGACGGUCCCUAGCUGGUCUGAGAGGAUGACCAGCCACACUGGAACUGAGACACGGUCCAGACUCCUACGGGAGGCAGCAGUGGGGAAUAUUGCACAAUGGGCGGAAGCCUGAUGCAGCCAUGCCGCGUGUAUGAAGAAGGCCUUCGGGUUGUAAAGUACUUUCAGCGGGGAGGAAGGGAGUAAAGUUAAUACCUUUGCUCAUUGACGUUACCCGCAGAAGAAGCACCGGCUAACUCCGUG